Molecule: transfer RNA, 87 nt
Filed under: bacterium
Lineage: Bacteria
Description: tRNA-OTHER
Rfam family: tRNA
About the family: Transfer RNA (tRNA) molecules are approximately 80 nucleotides in length. Their secondary structure includes four short double-helical elements and three loops (D, anti-codon, and T loops).
Source: RNAcentral
GGGAGAGUCGUCUAGAAAUUAUGGAUAGGAUGAAGGGUCAACACAUAAUCCCUUAUGACGGAGGUUCAAAUCCUCUCUCUCCCGCCA